This 387-nucleotide ribosomal RNA is filed under the name uncultured bacterium. RNAcentral's name for it is "bacterial SSU rRNA". It matches the Rfam family "Bacterial small subunit ribosomal RNA", at positions 29 to 408 of the family's 1533-position model. The record is from RNAcentral.
AACGAACGCUGGCGGCGCGCCUAAUACAUGCAAGUCGAGCGAGAAGACGUAGCAAUACGUUUGUAAAGCGGCGAACGGGUGAGGAAUACAUGGGUAACCUACCCUCGAGUGGGGAAUAACUAGCCGAAAGGUUAGCUAAUACCGCGUACGCUCCUUGGACUUCGGUUCAGGGAGGAAAGCGAUACCGUGGGUAUCGCGCUCUUGGAUGGGCUCAUGUCCUAUCAGCUUGUUGGUGAGGAACGGCUCACCAAGGCUUCGACGGGUAGCUGGUCUGAGAGGACGAUCAGCCACACUGGCACUGCGACACGGGCCAGACUCUACGGGAGGCAGCAGUAAGGAAUAUUGCGCAAUGGGCGAAAGCCUGACGCAGCGACGCCGCGUGGGGGA